Molecule: long non-coding RNA, 284 nt
Filed under: Gossypium raimondii (Peruvian cotton)
Lineage: Eukaryota; Viridiplantae; Streptophyta; Magnoliopsida; Malvales; Malvaceae
Description: long non-coding RNA (GRAI_LNC003908)
Source: RNAcentral
UUAUUUUGACUUUGAUUUUUUCAAUUUUUUCUUUCUCUUUUUUUUUUGAAUCUGAGCUUGUAGGGUUAGGUAAGUCAUUGUUAUCCCUUUCGAAGAAUCUUCUUUGAUAUCGGAUUUCUUUCACAGAGCCUCCUGGGGCGAAACUACGAUAGAAAACUUUGGAUCCUCCUCUUCAAUCAUGAUAAAAUCCAACAGAACUUGAAGAGAUGGAAACUCGUCUUCAAAUGGGUAAAGCUAUAUUGAGUCAACUAGAAAAGCAUUGCCCCGGCAAAGAAUUCUCAUUG